This 483-nucleotide ribosomal RNA is filed under the name uncultured bacterium. RNAcentral's name for it is "partial 16S ribosomal RNA". It matches the Rfam family "Bacterial small subunit ribosomal RNA", at positions 30 to 507 of the family's 1533-position model. The record is from RNAcentral.
AUUGAACGCUGGCGGCAGGCCUAACACAUGCAAGUCGAGCGGAUGAAGGGAGCUUGCUCCUGGAUUCAGCGGCGGACGGGUGAGUAAUGCCUAGGAAUCUGCCUGGUAGUGGGGGAUAACGUCCGGAAACGGGCGCUAAUACCGCAUACGUCCUGAGGGAGAAAGUGGGGGAUCUUCGGACCUCACGCUAUCAGAUGAGCCUAGGUCGGAUUAGCUAGUUGGUGGGGUAAAGGCCUACCAAGGCGACGAUCCGUAACUGGUCUGAGAGGAUGAUCAGUCACACUGAAACUAGGACACGGUCCAAACUCCUACGGAAGGCAGCGGUGGGAAAUAUUGAACAAUGGGCGAAAGCCUGAUCCAGCCAUGCCGCGUGUGUGAAGAGGGUCUUCGGAUUGUAAAGCACUUUAAGUUGGAGGAAGGGCAGUAAGUUAAUACCUUGCUGUUUUGACGUUACCAACAGAAUAAGCACCGGCUAACUUCGUG